This 403-nucleotide ribosomal RNA is filed under the name uncultured bacterium. Its description in RNAcentral is "bacterial SSU rRNA". It matches the Rfam family "Bacterial small subunit ribosomal RNA", at positions 917 to 1322 of the family's 1533-position model. The record is from RNAcentral.
GGGUCCGCACAAGCGGUGGAGCAUGUGGUUUAAUUCGAUGAUACGCGAGGAACCUUACCAGGGCUUAAAUGUAGUUUGACCGGUCUGGAAACAGACUUUCUCUUCGGAGCAGAUUACAAGGUGCUGCAUGGUUGUCGUCAGCUCGUGCCGUGAGGUGUUAGGUUAAGUCCUGCAACGAGCGCAACCCCUAUUCUUAGUUGCCAGCGGUUCGGCCGGGGACUCUAAGAAGACUGCCAGCGCAAGCUGAGAGGAAGGUGGGGAUGACGUCAAAUCAUCACGGCCCUUACGUCCUGGGCUACACACGUGCUACAAUGGUAGAGACAGAGGGCAGCCACCUGGUGACAGGGAGCGAAUCUUCAAAGCCGGUCUCAGUUCGGAUCGCAGUCUGCAACUCGACUGCGUG